GUGAAAUAAGGAAUUUUAUUAGAAAGCAAAUAUUUCAGUAUUGCAUUUGUAAAUGAAUCAGUGAGUUGAAUGACACCAGAGUCAAAAGUCAAAACCAGUUCGAAUUCGAACGGAAAUUUCUCGUUCAGUCAGAGUCGUUAAAAGGCGUAAACAACAGUUUUGUUUUUCCGAAACGUGGCCGUUUGAAGCGUCUCAGUCGUCUGUGUAGAGUAUAUCCCCGGCUGUUCUGCGUCCUGGGACCAACUGGACCUCUAAUAUUAGAGAUCCCCAAAAAAUGAGAGAUGAGAGAUGGAGAGAGAGAGAGAGAGAGAGAGAGAGAGAGAGAGAGACUGAGAGAAUCCUCUGUAAAAGCUGAAAGCAAAAAGCAGCAAAAGGUUUGUAGAAUUUCAGCUAAGUGCUAACAAAAUGUAAAAUUAGUGCACGUUUGUUCUCUGAUUGUCUGCGCUCUGAGCACAUGGCUUUUCUUUCUUUUCCCGCCAGCUUUCACACCAAAAUGGUAAAGUGCUGGCGUUAAUUAUUCUUCUAAGACUCACACACAUACACACAAAUACACAAUUCAGUCCUCAUAAAUCAGAAAUUCAAGGGUUCGAGGGUCAAAGGCCAUCAAUGAACUAAAACUGAUAUCCAAUCAGGAGUUUGUCUAAUCUAUUCAUCGACUGACACUGUUUGAAUGUUUGCUGAAAUCUGAAAAAAAUAAAAAAAAUUCAAAAUCCCUUUUUUUUUUUUUUUUUUACAAUUAUGCAAUCCUGUUUUUAAAAAUCUCAGCACAUUUAAACACAUCCACUGUUCCGGAAGCUUCUUGAUAUCGUUAUUUAACUAUUGCAGAUUUUCUUAACACAAAGAAAUAACAAAUCAUCAUCAUCAUCAUUCAGAUCAACAAACAGAAUGAAAACAGAUGACUUGCAUGCCCUACAUCAUCGUUUAUUUUUUAGAAAUUCUAAAUGCUGUCCGGUUUAGAACAAAAUAUCAACCAGCCAAAUGAGUUGAAUGAUCCGAGUCACUGAAAAGAGCAGGGAUUCCCAUGACUAAAGCACACGGAUGAUUCACGAUUCAUAUACUAGAGUUGACUCAAAAACGACUCUUUGCCAUUUUGUUCUAAACAGAAUCGAAUUUAUUUUUGAGUUGGAAGAGUCAACUCUUUUUGUUGAGCUGAGUCAAAUGAUCUGACUCACUGAAAAGAGCGGAAAUUCCCAUCACAGGAAGUACACCACUGAUUCAUGAGUCGCUUAAAAGAUUCGACCGCAAGAGUCGAGCUACGAGAGUCCGCUCUUUGCCAUUUUGUUCUUAACCGGACAUAACAUCAACGAGUUGUUUGAGAGCAAAAAGAGUCGACUCUUAUUUUCAGUGAGUCAAAUAAUCUGACUCACUGAAAAGGGCCUGAAUUCUCAUCAGUAAAGUUCACAAGGUGAGUUACGAUUCAUGAUUCACGGCUCUGUUGAAACAGACGAAGGAAUACAAAUACGCAAAAACUCAUGAUCAGUUUUUAAAACUCAUCGUUUGUCCUUUGGACCCGUCUCUCACACAUCUCAGGGAAAAAAGCCAACCCCUCUUUUGCAGUUUGUGCAAAAGCAAUCAGCCAAAAUUAGUGCCAAAAUUUAGAGACCGUGAAGUCUUAAUGACGGAAAUAGCAUCUACAAUAUAAAAAAAAAAACCCCACACACACAUACACCUAUAACUAUAACUAUAAAUUAGCCUGUCGCUCCACGUCGGACAGCGUUAUGCUACCACAAACAGCGCUUUCCCAGCGUUCGGUUUAGCGAUCGACAUUCUUCUGAGUUCCUCUCAGCAUCUAGUGCAACGGUUUACAUAGAUUUAGAGCCUAAUACCUGUCAGAAAAGUAAAUGAAAGACGAAUUUUGCAAUAUCGCAGGUGCAGAAAGAAAAGAAAAAAAGAGAUGCAGGAUUAAAUACAACUCCUAUCAGAGCAACGAAUCAGAUCGUUUUACAGUACGUUCUUUACUACGGUUUCACGCAUACUAACUGAAGGAUCGCAGAAUUUCACCUCCUCGGCCUGUACUGUACAUAAAGCUAUAGUUUGAAUCAUUUAUGAACAUGCACCAGAAAAGAUUCAGUCAGUUUCAAAGAUCGUCAGAAUCCUUAGGUAUGUUUAAGUAGCUACAAUUCAAAAAAAGAAAGAAAAAGGCCAAAUCCUUGAUUCGACAUCAUCACACGUGUCUCCUGCACCUUACUGAGGUUUAACAGAGGAAGUGUUUCUGUCUGUCACACUAAUAGUCUCGUUAAGGCACUGAUACUCGUCGUACAUAUACAUACAGAUUUAUCUACAGCGUUAGGAGUCAAUAUGUGUUCGUUAGAAACACUGAGUUUCCUCUUUACUACGUAAUAAUAGACCGGAAAAGGGAUGUAUAAUUAAAUACGAUGAAAUUUCCGCUUUUACCGCAAAUGUAGUCGAUCAUCCGAGGCAUUUCGGUGUCUGCAGUGUGCUAUCUGGAGCUACAAGGCUAAUGUUUUGUAAAAAAAAUAUCCGCCUCAAACCCGCAUCCAGUUCUUCAGUGAUACACGUGUGUGGAUGUGGUUUAGGACAGUGGUUUUAAAAGUGGGGGCCGCCAGGGGGCGCCCGGGAGGCCUCAACAAUUUGUUGUGAAAAAUAAAUUCUCACUCUCAGACAACCACACACACACACACACACACACACACACACACACACAAUCAGUUCUUAAUGUAAUGUAAUGAUGUAAGAUGUAAUUAUUAAUAAAAAAGGGGGGAUGUAUUCAGAAGUCUGUAUUUUUAAUGUGUUUUAAGGACAUCUUGCAAAAGUGGGGCCUCGGUCAAAUGUUAAUGCCAUUUGGGGGGCCUCACCCUGGAAGAGUUUGGGAACCCCUGGUUUAGGAGACUGUACGAUGUCAUUUGUCUCUAUGAACAGGAAGUAAAUUUCGCCGUGUAGAGGAACACUGGAACGUGCUCGGACGGGAUUAGUUUUACUUGAGGAGGUGUUGUAAUGUAAUUAAUACCGAAGUAUGUCUGGGAUUUCCAUGUAUAGUUCCUUGUAUAGUUAAAGGAUCAUUGUUUUCUAUCAUCGCUAACAUUCUCACUUUUCUGUGAAGUCUUUCGCAGCGAUGUUUGUUGGUAAACGAGACCUCUUGGCUGUACUCAUGUUCGGCGCGCGUGAACACGAGAGGGCUUUGGCCGAACGGCCGUCGCCACGACAUCACGUGACGUGUCUCGUCCCGAAUCUGCGGAAAAUACGCGGUAAAAAAAAGAUCAAAAUCGCAAGCUCUUCCGAAUACUGCGAAGUUUCGUUGACUUUGCGUUCAUUUCUGCGAUCGCGAAAGUGCGAAAUCCUUCAGGGACUGCUUAAAGCAUCUAAAGAAAUUCACUAGGGGGCAGUGCAGAGCCAAAACAUCCCUCAUUACCACCGCAACGCCCCGAUGGACCACUUACGUUCGAUUUUACAUCAUGUAAAAUAAUAGAAAUGGAAGUAGUUGAUGAUGAUGCGUCUGCUAAGGAAAUGGGGAAAAAAAAACAAAAAACAUCAGCACUGGUGUCAAAAUAGACUAAUGAACUAAUCUAGUCUCGCGUUUAUCUCCCUCGUCGUACGGUCACGCAUCACGCAUCCCGCACGUGUCGUUUAGUUCAGCUUCCCGUACGUUUACGUUAGAAUUUCACCACACCUACACUCCCCCUUCAUUUCUUUUAAACAAUAAACGCAUGCUAUAGCCCAAGUCUAACACAAGGCCUACUUGGAAAACCCCCUCUCUUUAAAUGUUCCCAUGACUCCCGGACAAACCAACCGACGCUUCGAAAUGUUCCUUUUCUUUCUUUCUGAAAGCGCAAACUCACACCACAGAGAGAAGGCAGGCGUACGAAAGGCAACGCUGGAGUCACAUGACUCACAAAGCCAUCCGGAUAUUUCACCCGGAAUAUUCCAGGUGAAGCAAAAGCACAUCAGGCGUUACAUGAGAGAAUUUCAUUGCGAGCGGUUCAUUGAAUCCUAACGCAACGUAAAAAGUAGCGAGGUGCGAUUUGUGCUAACAAACUACCUAACGUUUUAUAACGUAGCGUAAGCCCCGCCUCUCGCGGUUAGAAAACUGUACUGGAAUUUAAGCUGGAAGAUCUUAGCAUGAUUUAAAAAAAAUCUCUUUAUUUUUUUGGAUUAAACUUGUAGGACUACUCGUUAGCUACAUUAUCCUCGUAGCUCCAGGCCGCGAGCCGGAAAAACGCCGGCCGAUCGACUGCAUUAGGGUUCGAGGUGAAACCGUACGCAUCUGAUUUUUUUUGGGCUAAAACGUUCCUCUAAAGGCAAUUUCAACAAACCUGAAGAUUCUGACUGAGAGAAAACAAUAUUCUGAUCCAAUCUCCGGCUUUCAAACCACAACUCUGCAAUGCUCUCUCGCUCUCUCUCUCUCUCUCGCUCGCUCUCUCUCUCUUCCUUCUGAUGAUGUUCUGUUCAAAAUAAAAAAAAAUUUUAAAAAAAAAAGAACAACUUGGAUUUCUUCAUUGCUGUGUCCUGGGA
Molecule: long non-coding RNA, 4470 nt
Organism: Ictalurus punctatus (channel catfish)
Lineage: Eukaryota; Metazoa; Chordata; Actinopteri; Siluriformes; Ictaluridae
Source: Ensembl